AAAAGAGUGCUGCUAAUUUACUAACACUUAUUUAAGCAUUUAGCAACUGCAGGAACUCUACCUUGUUGGCUGCGGUGGCGGAGGAGGACGAGAGGAAGGAAUUUUCGUCUAGAAUUUUAGUCGAUUGAGUGAGGGGAGAAGGGAAAAAGCUAAUCGAUUUUUCUAUUUUUCUCUUUUUUUUUCUUUUCUGUUUGAAAUAAGGCCGAAUGGGCUGGGUGUGGUGGGUUGAAUAGAGUAACCUUUUAUUUUUGGUUGGAUUGGACUUUAUAUUUAGGCAUUAGUAGAUUUUUUUUUUUUAAGUUUUGGCAUAAAUGGGACACUUACACAAAAGUGUCCCAAACAUGUGUCUCUAUAACCUAAUUCUGUUGUAGUGUAUCUCUAUUCUUUGUUCUCAAAUGCCACACUUUACAUUAACUUUAGCCUUUAUCAUUGUCCUU
This 437-nucleotide long non-coding RNA is filed under the name Ananas comosus (pineapple). RNAcentral describes it as "long non-coding RNA (ACOM_LNC001083)". Lineage: Eukaryota; Viridiplantae; Streptophyta; Magnoliopsida; Poales; Bromeliaceae. The record is from RNAcentral.